Molecule: transfer RNA, 73 nt
Filed under: Cavia porcellus (domestic guinea pig)
Lineage: Eukaryota; Metazoa; Chordata; Mammalia; Rodentia; Caviidae
Rfam family: tRNA
About the family: Transfer RNA (tRNA) molecules are approximately 80 nucleotides in length. Their secondary structure includes four short double-helical elements and three loops (D, anti-codon, and T loops).
Source: Rfam by way of RNAcentral
ACCUAGAUAGCUGAGUUGGUAGAGCAUGAGACUCUUAAUCUCAGGGUCAUGGGUUUGAGUCCCAUGUUGGGUG